UUCCUGAGAAACUAUGGAAGACCUGAGGCUCCUCUUCAGAAAGCAAGACUUCAGUAUUGCUAAAGGAGCAAAACCAAAAGCUUGUUACACAUGGUAAGAUCUGCAGAAGCAAAAGGGAACAAGGCUAGUUGUGCAAGCAUUUUGUAAGCUUUGGGCUGCCAUCAUUCCUCUGAUAUACCAUUGGUUAAACUCUGCCAGUUGAUCCAUUUCAAAGCCAAGGUAUGUGGAAACGUACUUCAUCCAUGGAGACACCAUGAAAAGGUAAGAACAGAGGCAGGUUGAAGAAUGGAGACAUUAACUCAACUUAUUAUAACAGGUACACACCUGAUUUCUAUAUUGACCUUAUAUCUAGCAACUUAGUACAAUUCACAUUGACAAUUCUGGUAGUCUGUGAAUAGAUAUGUUUGGGAAUUUUAGUGUGCAUAAUUAUGUCAUUUGCAAAUAAUGGCAAUUUUGUUUCUUCUUUCUUAAUUUUUAAAUCUGUUAAUUUUUCCUUGCUUUAAUACCUUGCUAGUCUCACACACAAAGUUAAAAGAAAAAAUUAUAGUAACUAUCUUUGUUUCAUUCUCCUUAAGAAUAAACUCAACUGUUUCAGUGAUAAAUAUGUACUGAAUCUGUGUUUUGGUAGAUAUGAUGCAUCAAAUUAAGAAAUUAUUUUUUAUUUCUAUUUUGUUAGGGC
Molecule: long non-coding RNA, 679 nt
Filed under: Fukomys damarensis (Damara mole-rat)
Lineage: Eukaryota; Metazoa; Chordata; Mammalia; Rodentia; Bathyergidae
Description: lncRNA (ENSFDAG00000027670.1)
Source: RNAcentral